AGCGAACGCUGGCGGCAGGCCUAACACAUGCAAGUCGAACGAACCUUUCGGGGUUAGUGGCGGACGGGUGAGUAACACGUGGGAACGUGCCUUUAGGUUCGGAAUAACUCAGGGAAACUUGUGCUAAUACCGAAUGUGCCCUUCGGGGGAAAGAUUUAUCGCCUUUAGAGCGGCCCGCGUCUGAUUAGCUAUUUGGUUGAGGUAAUGGCUCACCAAGGCGACGAUCAGUAGCUGGUCUGAGAGGAUGAUCAGCCACAUUGGGACUGAGACACGGCCCAAACUCCUACGGGAGGCAGCAGUGGGGAAUCUUGCGCAAUGGGCGAAAGCCUGACGCAGCCAUGCCGCGUGAAUGAUGAAGGUCUUAGGAUUGUAAAAUUCUUUCACCGGGGACGAUAAUGACGGUACCCGGAGAAGAAGCCCCGGCUAACUUCGUG
This 434-nucleotide ribosomal RNA is filed under the name uncultured bacterium. RNAcentral's name for it is "partial 16S ribosomal RNA". It matches the Rfam family "Bacterial small subunit ribosomal RNA", at positions 29 to 507 of the family's 1533-position model. The record is from RNAcentral.